GUAGGUGGCAAGCGUUGUCCGGAAUUAUUGGGCGUAAAGCGCGCGCAGGCGGUUCUUUAAGUCUGAUGUGAAAGCCCACGGCUCAACCGUGGAGGGUCAUUGGAAACCGGAGAACUUGAGUACAGAAGAGGAAAGCGGAAUUCCACGUGUAGCGGUGAAAUGCGUAGAGAUGUGGAGGAACACAAGUGGCGAAGGCGGCUUUCUGGUCUGUAACUGACGCUGAGGCGCGAAAGCGUGGGGAGCAAACAGGGAUUAGAUACCCUGGUAGUCCACGCCGUAAACGAUGAGUGCUAAGUGUUAGAGGGUUUCCGCCCCCCUUAGUGCUGCAGCUAACGCAUUAAGCACUCCGCCUGGGAGUACGGCCGCAAGGCUG
RNAcentral lists this ribosomal RNA (373 nucleotides) under uncultured organism. RNAcentral's name for it is "partial 16S ribosomal RNA". It matches the Rfam family "Bacterial small subunit ribosomal RNA", at positions 527 to 896 of the family's 1533-position model. The record is from RNAcentral.